RNAcentral lists this ribosomal RNA (481 nucleotides) under uncultured bacterium. RNAcentral's name for it is "partial 16S ribosomal RNA". It matches the Rfam family "Bacterial small subunit ribosomal RNA", at positions 28 to 523 of the family's 1533-position model. The record is from RNAcentral.
GACGAACGCUGGCGGCGUGCUUAACACAUGCAAGUCGAACGGUGAAAGGGAGCUUGCUCCCUGAAUCAGUGGCGAACGGGUGAGUAACACGUGGGCAACCUGCCCCAGACUUCGGGAUAACGCUUCGAAAGAGGUGCUAAUACCGGAUACGAACUCCUUGGGCAUCCUUGGAUUUGGAAAGUUUUUCGGUCUGGGCUGGGCCCGCGGCCGAUCAGCUUGUUGGUGAGGUAACGGCUCACCAAGGCGACGACGGGUAGCCGGCCUGAGAGGGCGACCGGCCACACUGGGACUGAGACACGGCCCAGACUCCUACGGGAGGCAGCAGUGGGGAAUAUUGCGCAAUGGGCGAAAGCCUGACGCAGCAACGCCGCGUGAGGGAUGACGGCCUUCGGGUUGUAAACCUCUUUCAGCAGGGAAGAAGCGAAAGUGACGGUACCUGCAGAAGAAGCACCGGCUAACUACGUGCCAGCAGCCGCAGUAA